RNAcentral lists this ribosomal RNA (498 nucleotides) under uncultured bacterium. RNAcentral's name for it is "partial 16S ribosomal RNA". It matches the Rfam family "Bacterial small subunit ribosomal RNA", at positions 27 to 507 of the family's 1533-position model. The record is from RNAcentral.
GGAUGAACGCUGGCGUCGUGCCUAAUACAUGCAAGUCGAGCGAACAGCUAAGGAGCUUGCUCCUUUGACGUUAGCGGCGGACGGGUGAGUAACACGUGGGUAACCUACCUAUAAGACUGGGAUAACUUCGGGAAACCGGAGCUAAUACCGGAUAAUAUUUCGAACCGCAUGGUUCGAUAGUGAAAGAUGGUUUUGCUAUCACUUAUAGAUGGACCCGCGCCGUAUUAGCUAGUUGGUAAGGUAACGGCUUACCAAGGCGACGAUACGUAGCCGACCUGAGAGGGUGAUCGGCCACACUGGAACUGAGACACGGUCCAGACUCCUACGGGAGGCAGCAGUAGGGAAUCUUCCGCAAUGGGCGAAAGCCUGACGGAGCAACGCCGCGUGAGUGAUGAAGGUCUUCGGAUCGUAAAACUCUGUUAUUAGGGAAGAACAUACGUGUAAGUAACUGUGCACGUCUUGACGGUACCUAAUCAGAAAGCCACGGCUAACUACGUG